RNAcentral lists this ribosomal RNA (207 nucleotides) under uncultured bacterium. RNAcentral describes it as "partial 16S ribosomal RNA". It matches the Rfam family "Bacterial small subunit ribosomal RNA", at positions 568 to 774 of the family's 1533-position model. The record is from RNAcentral.
CGCGUAGGUGGUUUGGUCAGUCAGAUGUGAAAGCCCUGGGCUUAACCUGGGAAUUGCAUUUGAUACUGCCAGACUGGAGUAUGGUAGAGGGAAGUGGAAUUCCGGGUGUAGCGGUGAAAUGCGUAGAUAUCCGGAGGAACAUCAGUGGCGAAGGCGGCUUCCUGGACCAAUACUGACACUGAGGUGCGAAAGCGUGGGUAGCAAACA